UGGGGAAUAUUGCACAAUGGGCGCAAGCCUGAUGCAGCCAUGCCGCGUGUGUGAAGAAGGCCUUCGGGUUGUAAAGCACUUUCAGCGAGGAGGAAGGUGGUGAACUUAAUACGUUCAUCAAUUGACGUUACUCGCAGAAGAAGCACCGGCUAACUCCGUGCCAGCAGCCGCGGUAAUACGGAGGGUGCAAGCGUUAAUCGGAAUUACUGGGCGUAAAGCGCACGCAGGCGGUUUGUUAAGUCAGAUGUGAAAUCCCCGGGCUCAACCUGGGAACUGCAUUUGAAACUGGCAAGCUAGAGUCUCGUAGAGGGGGGUAGAAUUCCAGGUGUAGCGGUGAAAUGCGUAGAGAUCUGGAGGAAUACCGGUGGCGAAGGCGGCCCCCUGGACGAAGACUGACGCUCAGGUGCGAAAGCGUAGGGAGCAAACAGGAUUAGAUACCCUGGUAGUCCACGCUGUAAAACGAUGUCGAUUUUGGAGGUUGUGCCCUUGAGGCGUGGCUUCCGGAGCUAACGCGUUAAAUCGACCGCCUGGGGAGUACGGCC
This 542-nucleotide ribosomal RNA is filed under the name uncultured bacterium. RNAcentral's name for it is "partial 16S ribosomal RNA". It matches the Rfam family "Bacterial small subunit ribosomal RNA", at positions 355 to 887 of the family's 1533-position model. The record is from RNAcentral.